This 99-nucleotide non-coding RNA is filed under the name Vibrio sp. RNAcentral's name for it is "TPP sequence". It matches the Rfam family "TPP riboswitch aptamer (THI element)". Rfam says of the family: Vitamin B(1) in its active form thiamin pyrophosphate (TPP) is an essential coenzyme that is synthesised by coupling of pyrimidine and thiazole moieties in bacteria. The previously detected thiamin-regulatory element, thi box was extended, resulting in a new, highly conserved RNA secondary structure, the THI element, which is widely distributed in eubacteria and also occurs in some archaea. The record is from RNAcentral. Lineage: Bacteria; Pseudomonadati; Pseudomonadota; Gammaproteobacteria; Vibrionales; Vibrionaceae.
CUUCACUUGUCGGAGAGCCAUUUGGCUGAGACCGUUUAUUCGGGAUCCGUAGAACCUGAUCAGGCUAAGACCUGCGUAGGGAACAAGAGAAGAUCAUUG